Molecule: ribosomal RNA, 1247 nt
Filed under: Sugarcane whiteleaf phytoplasma
Lineage: Bacteria; Bacillati; Mycoplasmatota; Mollicutes; Acholeplasmatales; Acholeplasmataceae
Description: bacterial SSU rRNA
Rfam family: Bacterial small subunit ribosomal RNA
Source: RNAcentral
GAAACGACUGCUAAGACUGGAUAGGAAAUAAAAAGGCAUCUUUUUAUUUUUAAAAGACCUUUUUCGGAAGGUAUGCUUAAAGAGGGGCUUGCGUCACAUUAGUUAGUUGGCAGGGUAAAAGCCUACCAAGACUAUGAUGUGUAGCUGGACUGAGAGGUUGAACAGCCACAUUGGGACUGAAACACGGCCCAAACUCCUACGGGAGGCAGCAGUAGGGAAUUUUCGGCAAUGGAGGAAACUCUGACCGAGCAACGCCGCGUGAACGAUGAAGUAUCUCGGUAUGUAAAGUUCUUUUAUUGAAGAAGAAAAAAUAGUGGAAAAACUAUCUUGACGAUAUUCAAUGAAUAAGCCCCGGCAAACUAUGUGCCAGCAGCCGCGGUAAUACAUAGGGGGCGAGCGUUAUCCGGAAUUAUUGGGCGUAAAGGGUGCGUAGGCGGUUUAAUAAGUCUAUAGUUUAAUUUCAGUGCUUAACACUGUCCUGCUAUAGAAACUAUUAGACUAGAGUGAGAUAGAGGCAAGUGGAAUUCCAUGUGUAGCGGUAAAAUGCGUAAAUAUAUGGAGGAACACCAGAGGCGUAGGCGGCUUGCUGGGCCUUUACUGACGCUGAGGCACGAAAGCGUGGGGAGCAAACAGGAUUAGAUACCCUGGUAGUCCACGCCGUAAACGAUGAGUACUAAGUGUCGGGAUUACUCGGUACUGAAGUUAACACAUUAAGUACUCCGCCUGAGUAGUACGUACGCAAGUAUGAAACUUAAAGGAAUUGACGGGACUCCGCACAAGCGGUGGAUCAUGUUGUUUAAUUCGAAGAUACACGAAAAACCUUACCAGGUCUUGACAUACUCUGCAAAGCUAUAGCAAUAUAGUGGAGGUUAUCAGGGAUACAGGUGGUGCAUGGUUGUCGUCAGCUCGUGUCGUGAGAUGUUAGGUUAAGUCCUAAAACGAGCGCAACCCUUGUCAUUAGUUGCCAGCAUGUCAUGAUGGGCACUUUAAUGAGACUGCCAAUGAAAAAUUGGAGGAAGGUGAGGAUCACGUCAAAUCAUCAUGCCCCUUAUGAUCUGGGCUACAAACGUGAUACAAUGGCUGUUACAAAGAGUAGCUGAAACGUAAGUUUAUAGCCAAUCUCAUAAAAGCAGUCUCAGUUCGGAUUGAAGUCUGCAACUCGACUUCAUGAAGUUGGAAUCGCUAGUAAUCGCGAAUCAGCAUGUCGCGGUGAAUACGUUCUCGGGGUUUGUACACACCGCUCGUCA